Molecule: long non-coding RNA, 321 nt
Filed under: Hordeum vulgare
Lineage: Eukaryota; Viridiplantae; Streptophyta; Magnoliopsida; Poales; Poaceae
Description: long non-coding RNA (HVUL_LNC004312)
Source: RNAcentral
UUUCUCUUAUCAUGUGCAGGGGCCUUCUUGGGACUUCCCACCAGCCCACUAAGGGCUGGUGCGAUACCCCUUACACGUUGCGACAUUUGAUACACAUAAAACAUUCCUCCGGUGUCAGUGAGUUAUAUGAUCUCAUGGUCAUAGGAACAAAUACUUGACACGCAGAAAACAGUAGCAACAAAAUGACACGAUCAACAUGCUACGUUUAUUAGUUUGGGUCUAGUCCAUCACAUGAUUCACCUAAUGAUGUGAUCCAGUUAUCAAGCAACAACACCUUGUACAUAGUUACAAGACCCUGACUAUCCUCGAUCAACUGGCAAG